GGGUAGUCCUAGCCGUAAACGAUGCCCACUUGGUGUUGCAGAACUCUAGUGGUUUUGCAGUGCCGAAGCGAAGGCGUUAAGUGGGCCGCCUGGGAACUACGGUCGCAAGGCUGAAACUUAAAGGAAUUGGCGGGGGAGCACUACAAGAGGUGGAGGCUGCGGUUCAAUUGGAUUCAACGCCGGGAACCUUACCAGGGAAGACAGCAGGAUGAGGGUCACCCCGAAGGGGUUACCUAACAAGCUGAGAGAUGCUACAUGGCCGUCUUCAGUUCGUGGUGUGAACUGUCCUGUUAAGUCAGGAAACGAACAAGACCCACGUCAAUAGUUGCUACUUUGCUUUCCGAAGCAAAGGCACUCUAUUGAGACUGCCCGCGUUUUAAGUGGGAGGAAGGAGUGGGCAACGGCAGGUCAGCAUGGCUCGAAAUCCCAUGGGUUACACGCGGCCUACAAUGGGCAUGGGACAACGGGGAUGCAACUUCGUAAGAAGAAGCUAAUCCCUUAAACAUGUCUUAGUUCGGAUUGAGGGCUGCAAC
RNAcentral lists this ribosomal RNA (533 nucleotides) under uncultured prokaryote. RNAcentral's name for it is "bacterial SSU rRNA". It matches the Rfam family "Archaeal small subunit ribosomal RNA", at positions 739 to 1267 of the family's 1478-position model. The record is from RNAcentral.